Molecule: ribosomal RNA, 738 nt
Filed under: uncultured Nocardioides sp.
Lineage: Bacteria; Bacillati; Actinomycetota; Actinomycetes; Propionibacteriales; Nocardioidaceae
Description: bacterial SSU rRNA
Rfam family: Bacterial small subunit ribosomal RNA
Source: RNAcentral
ACGAACGCUGGCGGCGUGCUUAAGUCACAUGCAAGUCGAGCGGUAAGGCCCUUUCGGGGGUACACGAGCGGCGAACGGGUGAGUAACACGUGAGUAAUCUGCCCUUCACUUCGGGAUAAGCCUCGGAAACGGGGUCUAAUACCGGAUACGACACUUUUACGCAUGUAAUGGGUGUGGAAAGUUUUUUCGGUGGGGGAUGUGCUCGCGGCCUAUCAGCUUGUUGGUGGGGUAAUGGCCUACCAAGGCUUCGACGGGUAGCCGGCCUGAGAGGGUGACCGGCCACACUGGGACUGAGACACGGCCCAGACUCCUACGGGAGGCAGCAGUGGGGAAUAUUGGACAAUGGGCGGAAGCCUGAUCCAGCAACGCCGCGUGAGGGAUGACGGCCUUCGGGUUGUAAACCUCUUUCAGCGGGGACGAAGCGCAAGUGACGGUACCCGCAGAAGAAGCACCGGCCAACUACGUGCCAGCAGCCGCGGUAAUACGUAGGGUGCGAGCGUUGUCCGGAAUUAUUGGGCGUAAAGGGCUCGUAGGCGGUUUGUCGCGUCGGGAGUGAAAACGCCGGGCUUAACUCGGUGCUUGCUUUCGAUACGGGCAGACUAGAGGCAUGCAGGGGAGAACGGAAUUCCUGGUGUAGCGGUGAAAUGCGCAGAUAUCAGGAGGAACACCGGUGGCGAAGGCGGUUCUCUGGGCAUGUCCUGACGCUGAGCGAGCGAAAGUGUGGGGAGCGAAUCAGGA